UACGUAGGGUCCAAGCGUUAAUCGGAAUUACUGGGCGUAAAGCGUGCGCAGGCGGUUUUAUAAGCCAGAUGUGAAAUCCCCGGGCUUAACCUGGGAAUGGCAUUUGGGACUGUAAGGCUAGAGUACGGCAGAGGAGACUAGAAUUCCUGGUGUAGCAGUGAAAUGCGUAGAUAUCAGGAGGAAUACCGAUGGCGAAGGCAGGUCUCUGGGUCGAUACUGACGCUCAUGCACGAAAGCGUGGGGAGCAAAC
Molecule: ribosomal RNA, 250 nt
Filed under: uncultured bacterium
Lineage: Bacteria
Description: partial 16S ribosomal RNA
Rfam family: Bacterial small subunit ribosomal RNA
Source: RNAcentral